Molecule: transfer-messenger RNA, 371 nt
Filed under: Buchnera aphidicola (Cinara cf. splendens/pseudotsugae 3390)
Lineage: Bacteria; Pseudomonadati; Pseudomonadota; Gammaproteobacteria; Enterobacterales; Erwiniaceae
Rfam family: transfer-messenger RNA
About the family: Bacterial tmRNA, also known as 10Sa RNA or SsrA, is named for its dual tRNA and mRNA-like properties.
Source: RNAcentral
GGGGCUGUUAUGGAUUUGACAGAAUAUACAAAAAUUGUUGCAGCAUGUCGAGGAUUGGUUUGCCUCGUUAAAAAACCAAUUUUAUUAAAUGCAAAACAAAAAAACUACGCUUUAGCAGCUUAAAAAACUAGAUAAAGCCCUUUCUCGCUGAUCUAUUUUCUUCUCUUUAUUAGGUAAGUUAUAUAUUAGAAAGGUUAUAUAAAAAGAGACAUUCUUAUAUUGUUAAUCUUAAAACAAUAAGAUUGUAUUUUAUUAAGAUAAAAAAUAAAAUUUUGUUUAUUAAGUUUUAUUUUAAAAAAUUAAAUAAACUAAACAUGUAGAACAAUAAUAUUAGUUAUUUUGGACGCGGGUUCAAAUCCCGCCAGCUCCAA